UUCAUGGUUUUGUAUAAAAGCAUUAUAAGGCUCAAAUUUUAAUUUUUACCCCCAUUUUUCCUUUUAGUUAUCUUCAUCCCUAUAUUCAAUUAACUUAGCACAAGCAUUCAAUUUUCAAGGGAAUUAUGAAGUUUUAAGAAUGAGGAGAUAUAAUGGCUAAGGAACGAAUGAGAUUUAUUUGAUAUUGUGGUCACCUAUUUUAUUUAUUUUUUAUAAGGAUUUUGGUGACCUCUUUUUUUUUUGUUUUUGUUUUUUUUGUUUUUUUUGUAUUUUUCAAUUUUUCAUAUCUCAUUCUUUUUCUCUUUUAUUUUUUGUGUGGAACCAUUUUCCUAUGGAAAAUUUUCCUUUUAGUUUGGUUUUCGUUGAAAGAGCCAUGAUAUUCAUAAUAACGUUUAGUGGGAAACAACCACUCUAUAUUUUUUUGGAUUUCCACUACUUCUUUGGCAUGAUGGUUAAGUUCCUUAUUCGAAGUGUAUG
Molecule: long non-coding RNA, 477 nt
Filed under: Lathyrus oleraceus (garden pea)
Lineage: Eukaryota; Viridiplantae; Streptophyta; Magnoliopsida; Fabales; Fabaceae
Description: Pisum sativum (pea) long non-coding RNA (PSAT_LNC029277)
Source: RNAcentral